Molecule: long non-coding RNA, 3751 nt
Organism: Lolium rigidum
Lineage: Eukaryota; Viridiplantae; Streptophyta; Magnoliopsida; Poales; Poaceae
Exons: 3
Source: RefSeq, a predicted model, not a curated record
ACCCCCAACGCCUCUCUCCGUCGGCAGAAUUCCUCGCACCUCACUCCCUGCUGCACACCUCGGGUAGCACUGCCUUCACCUGCCUCCCCCUCCCCCGAGCCACCGCCUACGGCGAACUCUUCCCGGCCGAGUUUGCCCUGGUCGACCUUCUUCGUGGCCGCCGGCAGCGUGAAUUGGGUCAUCGGCUUCUUUUGCCGUCGCGGCGGCCGCCGAGGCAGCCCGGCUUCUCCUCCGAGUGGUAUGCCGUGCGCGCAUUCGCCGACUACCAGUGCGUCCACCGCGACUGCUGCCUCCACCCAGCGUCCACCGCGAUUUCGUCCAGGAGGAACCAAGACAGGAACAGCCAUCGCUUUGGAUUCACACUGGCGGAAGACUGAGAUUUGGUCAUAGGACAGGCUCCUCUUCUAAGUUUGCAGUUCGUUUUUAGAUCUUUCUAUGUUGGUGGUGUUGCUGGGAGAGAGAACGAUCAUACUGAUGUGGAUAUAGAAUUUUCUGAAUCAUGGUGAAGCGUCACAGUGAGAGAUGUCUCCUCUUUCUUUGAGAUGGUAUGUUUGUCUUCGUUUCUGAAGUGAAGAUUCGUUAGUUAUUUGGGCUUUCUGUGAUCCUUCUUUGUGUUCACAAUUUGAUUUUGGGUUUCGUAUUGUUUAUAAAUUGGUUGAUGUUUAUAGGGUUCAGCUGGCAAAUUCUGUAGAGUAUAUCAGAAGCAUAACAUUGGCCUGAUUAUGAACAACUUGCAUAAUUUUGUUUAUCAUCAUUGGCUUACUUUCUGUGGAUCUUACCUGCCGCUGCCCGUUAUUCCCUCCCAAGGCAGAAUUAUGAAGAACAUUCAUAGAUUGUUAUUCUGCAACGAACUCAAUAAUGAGACAGGAAAUCGUUGAUUCUUUCAAUGUCAGUUAGCUGGAUGUGCUAAAAAAUUAUAUUUGUUCAGAUUUCAAAACUAUAGAUUCAGUUGAUAGACAUUCAAGAUAUGUUGGCUUCCCCUUUCCGUUUGGAAAUUAUGACAUCAAUGGCCUGUAGUAUUUGGUCCUGCAAUUGGCUAUUUGUCUACUGUUUACAAUUCAUAUGGACCCUCAAAGGAAGGAAUUUCAUCAAGGCAUAAACUGAUUAGGCUGCUGGUAUAUUCCUGUUUUCUUUUCUGCUAGAAAACAAAAUUCAUGCAUGACUGUAUAGCUUUGAGAGAAGAAGAAUAAGAACUUCCCUUUCAAAACUUUUAGUCUUCCGUAACCACAUAUUACUAUGCUUCAGUUAUUAAUUUUUUCUAUCAUAUAUAGAUAAAUUAGGAAGGGACCAUUUAGUUUGGGUUACAAGUGCUCCAUUAAGGAAUGUGCAUUAUUGCAAACUCUACAAGUCCGGGUAUCUGUUGUGCACGAAUUAAGGAAUACCAAUAAUCAUGGCUCUGUUUGUAUACGUACAAAUUCUCAUUCUUAUAAACCAUGGUUACAGCUUAGGUUAGUUUUUAUAGAAAUCUGUCAUCUCUACAUAUUUCUUCAGUUGAAGGCUUGGGACAUUAUUUAUGAAAAUUUUACGACUAUUUCUUCCGACUUUAGUUGUUCCACUAUGAAAUUGUCUGACACUCUCAUAUCAGUCGGAUGAACUGCGUUUUGUUAAUCUAAACUACCAGGUUGGUGCUAGGAUCGACGAAGGCGACAUAGCAUCCCCAUGGCUUCUACUUCAGGACAAAAAUUGCUUUACUGCUGGUUGUCGUUGAUUAGUGCCAAACACUUUUCCCAAGUUGAUGAAUACUGCCGAUCUAUUAAAUCAUGUGCAAAUAUUUGGCUACUAUCCUUAGAAUGGGCAACAUACAUGUCUUUGACAUUCAAAUCAAGCAAACUGAUAUUUCAAUUCUUCACAAGUUGGUUUAUAUUCAGGUUAGUUGGAGAUAUUUGCAACCUUUGCACUAAGUUCCUGUUCUGAUUUUUUUCUAAAACACAAAAUGGUGAUGCUAUUUGUAAUCACUUUUUGCUGUAUAUCUUUUACAUUUUUAUAGACACAUAACCGUUGGCUGCAUGAUUACUUAAUACAGAUUCGCUAAAUAUAUAGACUUUUUUAUUGAUACCUUACAUAUAUACAAUUUUUUGGAUAUUUAUUUAAUUAUAUCUGGUGUCUAAUCAUCUUCUUCACAUGUCACUGUAUAGUAAUAUUACCAUGGAACCCCCACGUGUUCUUUUUAUAACUGAUUUUGUGUUGUGAGUAUUAUUACAAUGGAAUCACGAGAUAUGUAGUACGAAUUAUUUGGAUAAGCAUUUUGCUGGACAUACAGGGAAGAAAAAUAGUCGGCCUUCUUCGAAAGUUCAGUGAGGACACAAACGUGUGUUGACCAGGUGUGCAACAAGCUGGGAGAGUUCUCAAAUAAGAUGGCUUAGCUAAUUUUGUGAAGAGGCUGCAUGCUAGAUAUCUAACUCAGGCAAGUUAUUGUCAGAUCGAUAAGAGGACACUUCACCACCUGCCAAAUCUACACAACUGAAUUGUCUUUGGCAUUUUCUAGAGUCUCAAAACUUGACCCAUUGAUCCUACAAUUGUAGCUCUUUACAUCUGCCGAAUUAUCUGGUCAAAUUCCAUGUAAAAGUCCGCAAAUAGAUUAUAUCAAAGGGAUUCGUGUAGCAUAGGCUUAUUCUCAUGUUUCUCUAAGAUAGCAGUAUUCCAGAGCAGCCAAAGUCCGUCCUACUAUUAGAGGUAGUUCCAUGGAAUUGUAUGUACCAAUCUAUGUAUGGUGCUCUUCGACAGUAAAGGAUAAUUAAACUUCACCUUCCAAGUUGAAAUCCAAAUAAUUCCACUAUCAAAUUCUUCCAGGUUACUUCUAAUUUCAGUUUCAAAUUUAGUUGACGCUCGGCGUGUCGACAUCGCACAACAGAACUGAUGAUCAAGCUUAGAACUGUCUUUCAGUUGGUCCUUCCGCUAGGUACAGAGAGAUAUUAGCUCAAAUACCAUCUUUUUCUUUCUUGCUCAGAUUAAAGCGUACUGAGAGUUAGGAUACGUUAGAUACAACAAAUAAGUUGGUUCAUGCGAUCAGUUCAGGUCCCGUAAGGUUUUUUUUUGGAUUGAGUUACCAGAUAGUGGGACUAUUGGGUUCAUGAAUAUUCCAUAAUCCAAGAUAAACAUUGCAGACAUUGUGUCAAAAGAGUGGUCGAAUGAGUAGCUGAGCUACUGAUGAUAAUUGUGGUUCAUGCAUGUAUAUGCAGAAUUCUAGACUCAUAUUGAUUGUAAAAAACGAUCAUGAAGAUGCACAUAUUAUUUUUAGUGCAUAUUCUUUCUUUUCUGUUCUAUUGAAUAGUCAUAAGAAGCAAUUAGGUCAAAAUGAACUACGCCUAAGUGAGGCGGUGUAUGCUCUGAAAUUUUCUUUUCUUUUCAUGCUGAUUUCAGCUGUAAGUCUUUGUCCACAAGUUGUUGCUGAUUUGGGCACAAUAAUUCAAGGAAGGACCAGAAGAGAUAAAAACUAUAUAGGUGAUGAGCGCAACAUAUUGAAUUAUGUCUGUCAUUUGAUGCCUCUGGACUAGCAGCGUAUGCUCCUCCUUUUGGUAAGUUUCUUGGGUUUGUUAUUAUUCUAAGGACUGGAAGGAUGCUUCAAUUUCUGUUAUCUUCCUUUGAAGUAAUAGGAAGACAAAAUGUUCAGGCCAUUCUCCUUGGUCUCCUUUUAGUUUCGAGAUGGUUGCGUUAUUCCUUGAUUUUUUGGUUGUACAAAUUUCAUAUGAAUUGGAUGAUGAUCCAUAGGUAUAUGUGAAUAUGUGAUGAGUUAAAAGACCUUUUCAAAAUU